This is a long non-coding RNA of Danaus plexippus (monarch butterfly), 339 nucleotides long. RefSeq lists it as uncharacterized. The transcript has 2 exons. The record is from RefSeq and is a predicted model, not a curated record. NCBI's taxonomy places the organism in Eukaryota, Metazoa, Arthropoda, Insecta, Lepidoptera, Nymphalidae.
UUCUGAUAAAGUAGCAGUUCUUUCUCUAAAUGCCAUAUAAUGAACACCACACGUAACAAAUUUAAAACGGGUACGUCCCUGGCCGCCAACUGUGUCACCGAUGGGACGUCUCCCAGUUCGUCCAGCAGCUCGUUCAGUCGGUCCUGAGGCUCGGCUAUCACAUCCUGGUACUCCACCAGCAAAGCAUGCGUGUCUACUAUUUCCUAGAAAAAUAACUAACAUUUAUAAAGUUGUUACUCAAUAAAUAAAAUAUAGAUCUUAGUGUCGUGACAGAAAAUUAAAACUAUGUAUUAUUACUUGAAAUUCCCUUUAAUUAAUAUUACGUUCAGUAUUUUCUAA